CUUGUAUUCGGCCAAGAACAGCUCCACUUGCUAGCCCUCCAACAACAGAAUUCAUGAGGUCAUCAGGUGUUGUAGCUCGAGCAUCUCUUGCAAGUUCACGCGCACCUAAGUAUCAAAAGAGUAUGUGCCUUACAAGUUUACUCCAACACGCUGUUUGUCACCUUGAUUAAUACACAUGAGCAAACUAACAUUUCAAAAGUAGAGAAGAAGAGGCCACGAAACUGUGCAAGCAUGCAAUACCACAGGAGCUGACACUAGUAUGGGCCACUGUUUGCUGUUUAAAUUAGCUUGUAGCUAUAUACUCCCUCUGUCCGAAAAUACUUGUUGGAGAAAUGAUAAAAAUAGAUGUAUCUAGAACUAAAAUACGUCUAGAUACACCCAAUUCUCCGACAAGUAUUUCCGCACGGAGGGAGUAUUUAACUUGCAUCAUUAAAGUAAACUUGAGCCAGCAGGUGAAACUUAUAUAUAGCCAACUAAAGAUCAAGACAUAAACAAUAUUGAGUGACUUAAAAGCAAGCACACUCAUCCAUGCCAACCAAUAUAAGCUAAACCAGCAAAAAUUACACUAUUCCAAGAACAAAUAGAGAGCCACAGCUGCAUCCUAAUUCAACAUGUCACUUACACAAUUCCCAGCGAAUUGAGCGGUAAAUCCUGGGGCACAUCCUUUCACUAGUCAAGUGCUGGCAGUAAUAAACAUAUCCUGCUAUGAGCAAUCUGUUGCAAGACUAUANACACUCUCCGAGGCCGGCGUCACGACCUACGGGCCGGUCGACGCGACCGCAUUCGUCGUCUCCCUUCAUGCCAUGGCUGGCAUCAAGACGGCAAAGACGAUGCUGCUUCCGGUGACGAUCAACGGGGAGCGUCUCACCGCGCUCGUGGACACGGGUUCGACGCACAACUUCCUGUCCGGGGACGCCAUGCGCCGCCUCACACUCCAACCGGCGGGCUCGGAGAAGUUCAGCGUCACCGUCGCCAACGGGGACCGCCUUGCUUGCCAGGGGGUGGCGCGGCAGGUUCCCGUCCUCAUCGGAGAUGAGCCGUUCUCCAUCGACUGCGUCGGCAUCGACCUGGGCUGCUACGACUUCAUCCUCGGCAUCGACUUCCUGUCCACUCUCGGCCCCAUCCUUUGGGACCUCGAUGUGCUGUCCCUCAUCUUCUGGCGCGAGGGCGGCUGCCGCGUUUAGUGGACAGGCAUCGGCGACUCCGGCGCCGUGACUCCACAGCUCCAGUUGAUGGCGGCCGCACUGGACAAGGCGCAUCCCCUCCUGGCCGACCUCCUGCAGCAGCACAGCGACAUCUUCGACGAGCCACAGGGCCUCCCUCCCGCGCGGCCCUGUGACCACCGCAUCCACCUGCUACCGGACACGGCACCUGUAGCCGUGCGUCCGUACCGGUACCCUCAGCUGCAGAAAGACGAGCUCGAGCGUCAGGUGGCGGUCAUGCUCGCGCAGGGCAUCAUCCGGAUUUCAACAUCACCGUUCUCCGCCCCGGUGCUCCUUGUGCGCAAGCCCGACGGCACCUGGCGCUUCUGCAUCGACUACCGCGCCCUCAACGCCCUGACGUCCAAGGACAAGUUCCCCAUCCCCGUCGUGGAUGAGCUCUUGGACGAGCUACACGGAGCGCGCUUCUUCACCAAGCUUGACCUUCGCUCGGGCUACCAUCAGGUGCGCAUGCACCCUGACGACAUCGAGAAGACGGCGUUCCGCACUCACCAUGGCCACUUCGAGUUCCUGGUGAUGCCGUUCGGCCUCUCCAAUGCGCCAGCGACCUUCCAGGCCCUGAUGAACGACGUGCUCAGCCCAUACUUGCGCCGCUUUGUGCUUGUUUUCUUUGAUGACAUUCUCAUCUACAGUGCAUCUUGGGCGGAGCACCUACAACACGUGGCCAUCAUCUUCAACGAGCUUCGAGCGCAUCGUCUUCACCUCAAGCGCUCGAAGUGCUCGUUCGGCACGACCUCCGUCGCGUACCUGGAGCACGUCAUCUCGGCGGACGGGGUAGCGAUGGACGCGGACAAGGUCGCCGCCGUCGCAGCGUGGCCGAUCCCGCGGUCACCGCGGGCGCUCCGCGGCUUCUUGGGCCUCGCCGGCUACUACCGGAAGUACAUCUGGGACUUCGGCCUCAUCGCCGCGCCACUGACGCGUCUCCUUCGACGCGACGCCUUCUUUUGGGACGAGGAGGCGACUACGGCAUUCGAGGCUCUCCAGCGGGCGCUCACGACGGGACCCGUCCUCCAGAUGCCGGACUUUGAUAUGCCGUUCAUGGUGGACUGCGACGCCUCUGGCAUCGGCUUCGACGCCGUCCUCCACCAGGGCGAGGGACCGCUCGCCUUCUUCAGCCGCCCCUUCGCCGCUCGUCAUCACAAGCUCGCGGCCUACGAGCUCGAGCUUACUGGGCUGGUUCAGGCGGUGCGCCACUGGCGGCCUUAUAUUUGGGGCCGGUCAUUCCGUGUGCGCACGGACCACUACAGCCUCAAGUUCUUGCUGGACCAGCGCCUCUCCACAGUUCCACAACACCAGUGGAUCAGCAAGCUCUUUGGCUUCGACUUCACCGUUGAGUACCGCCCCGGCCGUCUCAACACGGUCGCCGACGCCUUGUCCCGCCGCGACACUGAGGAUGUCGCGGACGACGUCGCCAUGGCUGGCACUAUCAUGUGCAUUCGCUCCGGGCCAUCUUUCGCCUUCAUCGACGACAUUCGCCGGGCAACUUCGACGGCCGUGGACGCCCAGGGCCUGCGCCAGCGCCUUGACGCCAGCGAGCUGGACGCGCCCUGGCGCUUGGACGAGGGGCUGCUCCUACAUGGCCGCCGCAUCUUCGUGCUCGACCAUGGCGACCUGCGCCACCAGGUCCUGACCUUGGCGCACUCUGCAGGGCACGAGGGCGUGCAGAAGACUCUCCAUCGUCUCCGUGCUGAUUUUUACAUCCCCGGUGAUGGUGCGAUGGUCCGCGACUGGGUGCGGUCGUGCGUGACGUGCCAGCGGAACAAGACGGAGACACUACAACCCGCGGGUCUACUGCAGCCGCUGGACGUACCCUCCCAGGUGUGGGCGGAUAUUUCCAUGGACUUCAUCGAGGGCCUUCCCAAGGUGGGCGGCAAGUCCGUCAUCCUCACGGUGGUUGACCGCUUCUCCAAGUACGCGCACUUCAUCGCCCUGGGUCAUCCAUAUACAGCCGCCUCCGUGGCGCGGGCCUUCUUCGACGGCAUCGUCCGCCUCCACGGUUUUCCGUCGUCCAUCGUCAGCGAUCGUGAUCCUGUGUUCACGGGACAUGUCCGGCGGGAUCUCUUUCGACUGGCGGGCGUGAAGCUCCGCAUGAGCACGACGUUCCACCCUCAGACAGACGGCCAAUCCGAGGUGGUCAACAAGGUAAUCGCCAUGUACCUGCGUUGUGUUACUGGUGAUCGUCCACGAGCUUCGGUGGACUGGUUGGCGUGGGCGGAGUAUUGCUACAACACCUCCUAUCACUCCACCCUGCGCACCACGCCUUUCGAGGUGGUCUACGGGCGCCCACCUCCGGCGAUGCUCCCUUACGAGCCUGGGACGGCUCAGUCCGAGACGGCGGGCGACUUACUCCGCAACCGCGACGACAUUUUGGCUGAGGCACGCCAGCGUCUUCUCCAAGCACAGCAGCUGGCUCGGAAGUACUACGAUGCUCAUCAUCGCGAGGCGGAGUUCGCGGUGGGCGAUUGGGUGUGGCUGCGCCUCCUCCAUAGGACCACACAGUCUCUGGACCCGCGCUCCAAGCGCAAAUUGGGACCUCGCUACGCCGGUCCCUUUCGUGUGCUGGAGCGUGUCGGAACACUCGCAUACCGCUUGGAGCUGCCAGCUGGUUCUCGCCUCCACGACGUCUUCCAUGUCGGCUUACUGAAGGCCUACCGCGGGGACCCUCCUGCAGCGACGCCGGCCCUUCCUCCUACUUCGGAUGGCCGCCUCCUUCCAGCUUCCGCACAGGUGGUGAAGAUGAUGCAGGCGCAGCAGCGUCGCGGCGUCUGGCAUGUCUUGGUACAGUGGACCGGCCUGCCAGAGGAGGAAGCGACUUGGGAGAAGCUCGACGAUUUCCGCCAGCAGUUUCCAGAUGUUCAGCUCGAGGACGAGCUGUUUGAGAAGGCGGGGAGAGAUGUUAUGACCGGUACAACGUACAAACGGAGGAGGCCCAAUGGGCAGGGUUAAUUACGGGCUUAGCCCAAGUUAUCUUACCUAUCUUAGAGUCCAAGUUAUAUUAGAGUCCAAGUUAUAUUAGAGUCCAAGUUAGAGUCCAAGUUAUCUAGGGUUUAGUGGAGGUUGUCCUCCUAUAUAAACACAUGUACCCCUUCGAUAUUAAGCAGACAAUAAACAGUAUAUUCUGUUGUCGUCUCCCUCAGGAGACGAGAGCCCCAAACCCUAGCCGCCUCUCUCUCUCUCUCACGCCGCGACGGCGCCCAAUCGCCGGCGCCGGCGUCCCCAACCUCGCAGCCCGCACUUCCACCCCUACAACCUACGCCCGAGACCUGGUAGAACCCUAGCCUCUACCACAGCAUGUGAUUAUAGAGAACAAGAUAACCCUAAGGUGUCGUCUAAAUUCACCCUGUGAUGUUUGGUACAUGGAUGCAUUUAUGUAGUUAAAAAAAACAUGUGCUUGUGUGAAAAUAAGAGAGCCCCGUUAUACGAGGAGGUCAUGUGGUAAAAAAUUAUUUUGGUCGUGUCUGAUCUCUGAUGCAGCCAGUUGGCACAGCACCUACCUUCUAAGCAUUUGCACAAGCUCCACCAGAACGCACAUGACUGACCACAAUCGCACAUUUCCCUAAGCUUCAGUGCGUAAUGUAAUAUAAUAUGCAUCUUGAUCUGCUAGUAUGUGUGAUAUCAUAAACUUAAUUCUUUCAGAUAUAUAAGCUUGCUUGGUGCACUGUGAAGAUCAAAUCCAUAAGGACAAUGAGGAAUUGAGCACUAUAGUCAAAUUUGACUUGAGGAAAACUGCAGAUGCGAGUCACUGAAAGAUGUUAAGUAUGAAAAGAAACAUAAGUCAACAUAUGAUUGUGGAGUAUAAUGACCAACCUUGUAUUCGGCCAAGAACAGCUCCACUUGCUAGCCCUCCAACAACAGAAUUCAUGAGGUCAUCAGGUGUUGUAGCUCGAGCAUCUCUUGCAAGUUCACGCGCACCUAAGUAUCAAAAGAGUAUGUGCCUUACAAGUUUACUCCAACACGCUGUUUGUCACCUUGAUUAAUACACAUGAGCAAACUAACAUUUCAAAAGUAGAGAA
This 5233-nucleotide long non-coding RNA is filed under the name Hordeum vulgare. RNAcentral's name for it is "long non-coding RNA (HVUL_LNC004599)". The stretch from base 296 to 419 matches the Rfam family "MIR1120/MIR1122 microRNA precursor family". Lineage: Eukaryota; Viridiplantae; Streptophyta; Magnoliopsida; Poales; Poaceae. The record is from RNAcentral.